This 209-nucleotide long non-coding RNA is filed under the name Lathyrus oleraceus (garden pea). RNAcentral describes it as "Pisum sativum (pea) long non-coding RNA (PSAT_LNC019044)". The record is from RNAcentral. Lineage: Eukaryota; Viridiplantae; Streptophyta; Magnoliopsida; Fabales; Fabaceae.
AGAUCAAAUGAUGUGUGAAUGAAAAGUAUGAUGAGGGAAAACAAAUAUGAUCAUUUUUUUUUAUCUUUUAGUGCCACAUUCUUGACUUUUUAUUGACUUUUCUUUUAUGAUGUAAAUUAAUUAAUGAAUGGUGUAUGAUUAUAUGAUGAUGCAAAUGCAUGAAUUACCAUGAGAAUAAAUUAAUUUAAAUGCACUUUCUUUUAUUUUUG